This is a long non-coding RNA of Seriola dumerili (greater amberjack), 457 nucleotides long. RefSeq lists it as uncharacterized. The transcript has 2 exons. Lineage: Eukaryota; Metazoa; Chordata; Actinopteri; Carangiformes; Carangidae. The record is from RefSeq and is a predicted model, not a curated record.
CAGGUAUACGAAACCCAACAAUGAUCAAAGAGAAUUACCCAUGUUCAGUCUGGCUGUAAGCAUCCCAAAGAGCGGGGACUCUUAUGAUGUCGCAGCAGGCCCUGACGAUGGUGUGGCAGUGAAGAAUAGAAUUAGAUUGAGGUAUGCUCCUGAAAUCAGUCUAGCCUACAGGCCACUUAUCUUGUCAGCUUUUGUUGCUUCAUUUAAAUCCUCGCCUGCGUCUAUGAGACUGUUUUCAGAUAAUAUUCACAAAAAAAUAUAAAUUAAUAGCAUGAAUUGGUUGGGAACAACUUUGUCAAUAGUCCUCUAAUGUGUGAUUAAAUAUAAAUACAUUGAAUAGUUUGUUUUAAAUAAAAUAAAGAGGUUUGAUGUGAAUUAUACAAUAAAUAUCAUACACUGUCCUUCUGUAAAGAAAAGUCUCUGUUCUUUCUAAAUUAAAGCUUGGCUCAGCAUCCAC